This 253-nucleotide long non-coding RNA is filed under the name Lathyrus oleraceus (garden pea). RNAcentral describes it as "Pisum sativum (pea) long non-coding RNA (PSAT_LNC035572)". Lineage: Eukaryota; Viridiplantae; Streptophyta; Magnoliopsida; Fabales; Fabaceae. The record is from RNAcentral.
UUUUUUCUAGUUUUAUUUAUAGGUAUAGGAAAUAUUGUAGAUAACGAAUUAAAUAAUGAAGAGAAUAUUGAAGAUAUAUGAAAUAGUGAAGAAAAUAUUGAAGGUGUAUUAAAUAUGGAAGAAAAUAUUAAAGAUGCAUCAGACAGUGAAGAAAAUAUUGAAGGCGUAUUAAAUAUGGAAGAAAAUAUUGAAGAUGUUUUAAAUAGUGAAGAAAAUUUUGAAGGUGUAUCAAAUGGAGAAGAAAAUAUUGAAG